This 370-nucleotide ribosomal RNA is filed under the name uncultured Prevotella sp. RNAcentral's name for it is "bacterial SSU rRNA". It matches the Rfam family "Bacterial small subunit ribosomal RNA", at positions 428 to 796 of the family's 1533-position model. The record is from RNAcentral. Lineage: Bacteria; Pseudomonadati; Bacteroidota; Bacteroidia; Bacteroidales; Prevotellaceae.
AACUGCUUUUGAAGGGGAAUAAAUAAGGGCACGCGUGCCCUGUUGCAUGUACCCUUGGAAUAAGGACCGGCUAAUUCCGUGCCAGCAGCCGCGGUAAUACGGAAGGUCCUGGUGUUAUCCGGAUUUAUUGGGUUUAAAGGGAGCGUAGGCCGCAUAUUAAGUGUGUUGUGAAAAGCAGUCGCCCAACGUCUGUCUUGCAGCGCAAACUGGUGUGCUUGAGUACGCACAACGCAGGCGGAAUUCGUCGUGUAGCGGUGAAAUGCUUAGAUAUGACGAAGAACCCCGAUUGCGAAGGCAGCGUGCGGGAGCGUUACUGACGCUGAAGCUCGAAAGUGCGGGUAUCGAACAGGAUUAGAUACCCUGGUAGUCC